UUUAUUGCAUAAGGGAUGUGUUUUUAUGUCAUGUAAAUAUAAAAACGAUAGCGAAAAUGAAAAAACAAGAGUUGAAAUCAAUCAGUCGUUGACUUCCACUGAGCCAUUCAAGUAGCUUGCCGCAGAUGUGAUUUGAGGGACAUGAAUAAAAACAUUUGCCUCUUCCGUUCAGUAAGAGAGUUAAAAUGGAGAUCGUCGGUUUGUAAAAUCGAGUGGAAUUCAUGGGGUUUUCAGUUUAUCUGUGACCGUCUGAAAAGUUAAAAAAAAAACCUUUAAUCCGGAGCUGAACGUAAGUGCUGCAGCAAUAAGUGAAAUCAAUAUUAUGUAAACCAAUUUACUGGUCAUUACAUGCUACAUUAUUUACAAGUCAAACCCAUUUUCGACAAACUCCAGCCAUUUUUAAUCGAACCGAGUCGUGCAUAGUUUGUCUCCAUAAAUAUGGAGUGAAAAAGUGUUUUAAAAUACAAUUUUCGCCUAAGUUUAUGCUUCACCGGCUGUUUAAUGUGAAAUGAAUGCAUAACGUUAGUAAACAAACCGAUAUAGGCAACAGAGGAUCUCGAGGAAGUUUUUUGCGAGGACUAAUCAAGGCCAUUUAUUUUCGAAGAACAGUUUUGAGAACGUUGAUGGAAAAUUCCUUUGGAUUCAAAUUUUUCUGUUUAGAAUUUUCGCUUUCCAAUAUAAUCCCAGCAACAUCUUAUUUUGAAUCCCCGAACAAAUGGGGAUGAAAUUGGAUUUUGGAAUUAUCAACCGCAAACCAAGAAACUCGAAUUAUGGCAGCAUUGUAUUGAACAGUGAGCAAUAUACGAACGAAAGUGUCUGAAUUAUAAAAACCAAGGCCCGAAUAUCUAGGCCUUUCACACUACGUUCUCAGAGUGACCACAUUAACUUGGUGGAUGCUGCCCAAACGAACAAAAAAUCUGAUCUCCUUCUCAUUGACAAUAAUUCGAUGACUUUGUAUCCCAUCUAAGAAUUCAGAGCGUCUUGACGACUUGAAGAACUGAAACGAAGCUUCUAGAAAUGUUCAAACAUUUCAGGAAGAAUAAAUCGUCAACUACGAAUUGUAUUAAACUUUUCAGAGCCUCAAUCAAGUGUUAAAAUUUAAAUGUUCAGUGUUGCCUCAAUAUAAGUUGAUGAAAAAAUAAAAUAAUGAAAUUAUGUUGAAUAAUGUAUUAAUAACUAUUUUAG
Long non-coding RNA from Uranotaenia lowii, 1185 nucleotides. RefSeq lists it as uncharacterized. The transcript has 4 exons. NCBI's taxonomy places the organism in Eukaryota, Metazoa, Arthropoda, Insecta, Diptera, Culicidae. The record is from RefSeq and is a predicted model, not a curated record.